UACGUAGGGGGCAAGCGUUAUCCGGAUUUACUGGGUGUAAAGGGAGCGUAGACGGCUAGACAAGUCUGGUGUGAAAACCCGGGGCUCAACCCUGGGACUGCAUUGGAAACUGUUUGGCUUGAGUGCAGGAGAGGUAAGUGGAAUUCCUAGUGUAGCGGUGAAAUGCGUAGAUAUUAGGAGGAACACCAGUGGCGAAGGCGGCUUACUGGACUGUAACUGACGUUGAGGCUCGAAAGCGUGGGGAGCAAACAGG
Molecule: ribosomal RNA, 253 nt
Filed under: uncultured bacterium
Lineage: Bacteria
Description: partial 16S ribosomal RNA
Rfam family: Bacterial small subunit ribosomal RNA
Source: RNAcentral